Molecule: ribosomal RNA, 301 nt
Filed under: uncultured bacterium
Lineage: Bacteria
Description: partial 16S ribosomal RNA
Rfam family: Bacterial small subunit ribosomal RNA
Source: RNAcentral
CAGCCGCCGCGGUAAUACGAAGGGUGCAAGCGUUACUCGGAAUUACUGGGCGUAAAGCGUGCGUAGGUGGUGGUUUAAGUCCGUUGUGAAAGCCCCGGGCUCAACCUGGGAAUUGCAGUGGAUACUGGGUCACUAGAGUGUGGUAGAGGAUAGUGGAAUUUCCGGUGUAGCAGUGAAAUGCGUAGAGAUCGGAAGGAACAUCUGUGGCGAAGGCGACUAUCUGGGCCAACACUGACACUGAGGCACGAAAGCGUGGGGAGCAAACAGGAUUAGAUACCCCUGUAGUCCCUGUCUCUUAUAC